This 509-nucleotide ribosomal RNA is filed under the name uncultured Oscillibacter sp. RNAcentral's name for it is "partial 16S ribosomal RNA". Lineage: Bacteria; Bacillati; Bacillota; Clostridia; Eubacteriales; Oscillospiraceae. The record is from RNAcentral.
CACGUAGUUAGCCGUGGCUUACUCAAGGGGUACCGUCUUCCGCUCUUCCCCCUUAAAAGAAGUUUACAACCCGAAAGCCUUCUUCCUUCACGCGGCGUUGCUGGGUCAGACUUGCGUCCAUUGCCCAAUAUUCCCCACUGCUGCCUCCCGUAGGAGUCUGGGCCGUAUCUCAGUCCCAAUGUGGCCGGCCAACCUCUCAGUCCGGCUACUGAUCGUCGCCUUGGUGGGCCGUUACCUCACCAACUAGCUAAUCAGACGCGAGGCCAUCUUCCAGCGAUAAAUCUUUGACGUCAGAGUCAUGCGGCUCCAACGCAUCAUGCGGUAUUAGCAGUCGUUUCCAACUUGUUCGUCCCCCUCUGGAAGGCAGGUUCCUCACGCGUUACUCACCAGUCCGCCACUAAGCAUUCCCAUCCGUUGUCCGAAAACUCCUUCAGGGGUGCUCCGUUCGACUUGCAUGUGUUAAGCACGCCCGCCAGCGUUCGUCCUGAGUCCAGGACUACGAAACUCCU